CUACCAGGGUAUCUAAUCCUGUUUGCUCCCCUAGCUUUCGUUCCUCAGCGUCAGUUGCGAUCCAGUCAGCCGCCUUCGCCACGGGUGUUCCUGCAGAUAUCUACGCAUUUCACCGCUACACCUGCAAUUCCACUGACCUCUCUCGCACUCGAGCGCGGCAGUUUUGAAAGCAGCCUCUGGGUUAAGCCCAGAGAUUUCACUCCCAACUUACCGCACCGCCUACGAACCCUUUACGCCCAGUAAUUCCGAGCAACGCUGGCCCCCUACGUAUUACCGCGGCUGCUGGCAC
RNAcentral lists this ribosomal RNA (289 nucleotides) under uncultured Acidobacteriota bacterium. RNAcentral's name for it is "uncultured Acidobacteria bacterium partial 16S ribosomal RNA". The record is from RNAcentral. Lineage: Bacteria; Pseudomonadati; Acidobacteriota.